Molecule: ribosomal RNA, 467 nt
Filed under: uncultured bacterium
Lineage: Bacteria
Description: bacterial SSU rRNA
Rfam family: Bacterial small subunit ribosomal RNA
Source: RNAcentral
GACGAACGCUGGCGGCGUGCUUAACACAUGCAAGUCGAACGGAAAGGCCCUGCUUUGUGGGGUGCUCGAGUGGCGAACGGGUGAGUAACACGUGAGUAACCUGCCCUUGACUUUGGGAUAACUUCAGGAAACUGGGGCUAAUACCGGAUAGGAGCUCCUGCUGCAUGGUGGGGGUUGGAAAGUUUCGGCGGUUGGGGAUGGACUCGCGGCUUAUCAGCUUGUUGGUGGGGUAGUGGCUUACCAAGGCUUUGACGGGUAGCCGGCCUGAGAGGGUGACCGGCCACAUUGGGACUGAGAUACGGCCCAGACUCCUACGGGAGGCAGCAGUGGGGAAUAUUGCACAAUGGGCGGAAGCCUGAUGCAGCAACGCCGCGUGCGGGAUGACGGCCUUCGGGUUGUAAACCGCUUUCGCCUGUGACGAAGCGUGAGUGACGGUAAUGGGUAAAGAAGCACCGGCUAACUACGUG